AUUGAACGCUGGCGGCAUGCUUUACACAUGCCAGUCGAACGGCAGCACAGGGCGCUCGCUCUUGGGUGGUGAGUGGCGGACGGGUGAGUCAUGUAUCGGAACGUGUCUGGUCGUGGGGGAUAACUACUCGAAAGAGUGGCUAAUACCGCAUGAGGCCUUCGGCUGAAAGCGGGGGAGCUACGGUCCUCGUGCUUCGAGAGAGGCCCAUCUCAGAUUAGUUUGUUGGUGGGGUAAAGGCCUACCAAGCCCGCGAUCUGUAGCUGGUCUGAGAGGACGACAAGCCACACUGGGAGGUGGACAGGGCCCAGACUCCUAAGGGAGGCAGCAGUGGGGAAUGUUGGACAAUGGGCGCAAGCAUGAUCCAGCAAUCCCGCGUGCAGGACGAAGGCGUUCGGGUUGGAAACUGCUUUUGUGGGGAACGAAAAGACUCUGGCUAAGAACUAGAGAUCAUGACGGUACUGGAAGAAUAAGCACCGGCUAACUACGUG
This 488-nucleotide ribosomal RNA is filed under the name uncultured bacterium. RNAcentral describes it as "partial 16S ribosomal RNA". It matches the Rfam family "Bacterial small subunit ribosomal RNA", at positions 30 to 507 of the family's 1533-position model. The record is from RNAcentral.